Long non-coding RNA from Eurytemora carolleeae, 364 nucleotides. RefSeq lists it as uncharacterized. The record is from RefSeq and is a predicted model, not a curated record. Lineage: Eukaryota; Metazoa; Arthropoda; Copepoda; Calanoida; Temoridae. The transcript has 4 exons.
CCUGUGUAUCCUAAAGAGAUAUCUAUUCGUCCUCUACACUAAAGGACGGACCCCAGAGCCAGAUAAGCUUGAACCAGAGCAGAAAGAAUAUUAUGCAGAAACUUGCUGGAAAUGUCAACCCUGCUACAUAAAGAUAUCUGGAAAAUACAGACCAACUCUAACAAAACAGAGAAAGAUGCAGUGGGCGGCAAACUUAAAGGGAGUGACCGGCUAGAUAUUGUAGUUGAGCAGAGAAUGCAGAUUUCACGCUCACAGUCUCUUUAAUCAUUAAUUAUAAGGAACAGCAGUGCUUGGUAUCACACGGACUUAUUGCAAAAUGCAUAAAUGGGUUGGAUGGGUCGGAUUCUGCACAAUAAGAAUAAAU